This 279-nucleotide unclassified non-coding RNA is filed under the name uncultured fungus. RNAcentral's name for it is "sequence contains ITS1". Lineage: Eukaryota; Fungi. The record is from RNAcentral.
UUUUGACGUUGUUCUUUAGCCAGAGCGCAAGGGAACCGCAGCCCCCGAGAUACUCCAGAGUAAGAGAUUCAUGGUUCAUAUUUUGUCGACACAAGUACAUGUGCCACAAAACGUGUUGUUAAAGCGGGCAACUCGAAAGUCGCCAUUAAUUAGAAGGUUCGCGGGACGCAAAAGUCAAGCCAAAGUUUUACCCUAGGCCCUCCUUCUGAGACUGCCACCAGCGUUAGCCAGUGGACUUGAGGUGUGGUAAUGAUCCUUCCGCAGGUUCACCUACGGAAA